This 468-nucleotide ribosomal RNA is filed under the name uncultured bacterium. RNAcentral's name for it is "partial 16S ribosomal RNA". It matches the Rfam family "Bacterial small subunit ribosomal RNA", at positions 28 to 507 of the family's 1533-position model. The record is from RNAcentral.
GACGAACGCUGGCGGCGUGCUUAACACAUGCAAGUCGAACGGGAAGGCCCUGCUUUUGUGGGGUGCUCGAGUGGCGAACGGGUGAGUAACACGUGAGUAACCUGCCCUUGACUUUGGGAUAACUUCAGGAGACUGGGGCUAAUACCGGAUAGGAGCUCCUGCUGCAUGGUGGGGGUUGGAAAGUUUCGGCGGUUGGGGAUGGACUCGCGGCUUAUCAGCUUGUUGGUGGGGUAGUGGCUUACCAAGGCUUUGACGGGUAGCCGGCCUGAGAGGGUGACCGGCCACAUUGGGACUGAGAUACGGCCCAGACUCCUACGGGAGGCAGCAGUGGGGAAUAUUGCACAAUGGGCGGAAGCCUGAUGCAGCAACGCCGCGUGCGGGAUGACGGCCUUCGGGUUGUAAACCGCUUUCGCCUGUGACGAAGCGUGAGUGACGGUAAUGGGUAAAGAAGCACCGGCUAACUACGUG